Non-coding RNA from Chlorocebus sabaeus (green monkey), 744 nucleotides. The record is from RefSeq and is a predicted model, not a curated record. NCBI's taxonomy places the organism in Eukaryota, Metazoa, Chordata, Mammalia, Primates, Cercopithecidae.
CCCAUCUUUCUCUUUGUAGUGCCCGCCUGCCUGAGAACCUUUGAGCGCUCCUGAGAGUUCUCACAGACAGAUGGGCGCUGGGUGUAGGUUUGCUCUCUGAUCUCCACGCUUCUCUGCGGCACUUCGCCUCCCCCAAUGACAGAUGCAAAGUCCCAUAUGUAACAGGAUGGGCUGGUGGAGAGCAUGCUUCAUUCCUUGCUCUUGAAUUCCCCCAAGGAAGAUCCCAGCCUUGUUCAGACAAAGAGGCGGAAGCAGAACAAAGUUUGCAUUCUCCAGCUGAGGAAAAAUGAGGUGAAAGAGGAAGACAAGGAGGACAAGGAGGAUGAGGAAGAGGAGGAGGACCAAGCAGAGGGGCCCCCUUCCUCUUUGCAAUCACCUAGGACAGGACAGAGGCAAUGCCCGUACUCAAGAAUCUGCCAAGUGAGGCACAAGGAGCACCUGAGCACUUGGAAAGUAGCUUGAGCUUAUCCACUGGUGAAACCAAGUUGUCUGGCUGGAGUCUGUCCAUGUUUUGCCAAUACUUAUGUAGCUGCUGCCACAGGAAGCAGAAGUCAGUGGAGGAAAACAAGGCAUCCGCCCCUGGAGCAGCGAGGAGCCCAGGCGAGACUGACUCAGCUGUGAGCUUCACUAAUGGGUGAUGGUCCAGAUCUCCAAGGGGCUCCAAGGAAAGCUCUUGGCAGAAGCCAGAAGAGCAGAGAGUGUAAUCCUUCCACUUAGAAAUAAAGCACAUUUUAUUUUUGUGAA